Long non-coding RNA from Ailuropoda melanoleuca (giant panda), 3253 nucleotides. RefSeq lists it as uncharacterized. NCBI's taxonomy places the organism in Eukaryota, Metazoa, Chordata, Mammalia, Carnivora, Ursidae. The record is from RefSeq and is a predicted model, not a curated record. The transcript is spliced from 4 exons.
UAUAUGUUAAUAAGAUGGUGUGUCCCUGCAAUGUUGUGUGCCACCAUGACUGUGUCAUUGCGAUUGUGUGUCACUGGGAUAAACUGGCUGUGGGAUUAUGAGGGUGUCACUUGUCCUCGUGUGUGUGUCCCUGAUACUGUGUGCUCUAGGGACUCAGUCAUGGAGACUGCGUGUGUCUGGGCGAUGCGGUUGUGUAUUGGGGUAAGGUGUGCCGCUGUGGUUGUGGGUCUGCGGCAGUGCUUGUGCGUCCUGGGACUGUGCUGACUGCGAUUUGGUGUGCCCGUGCGAUGCCGUGUGUCUCGGCGUGUUCCUGGUGUUGUGUACGUCUGCGUGCGUGUCACGGUGAUGCUGCGUGUCACGGUGAUGCUGCGCGUCCCGGAGACAGUGGAUGUGUGCGAGCUACUGGGAUUGUGUGGCCGCGUGCUUCGCUGGGUGUCGGGGGAAGGUGCGCGCGUCUCCGGGCCUCCUGCCCGAGAACAGCGGCGCUGCUUUCUGAUUGGCUGCGGCCUCGCCAGUGAGAAGCUCGCGAAUCCUGCGGUAACUUGUCAUGCUCAGAAUUCACUUUUCAUUCUGCGGAGACAGCCGGGGGACUAUUCGCUACUUCAUCCUCGCCCCUCCCCGCAGGCCUACGCUUCUGGCAGCAGGCCCCACGCAGGGCAGACUUCAGGAAGGACUUCCCGCCCUGGUUCAGCACCGGAGCUUUAUCGCUCGGGCCAGGCGGAGGCCAGGCGGCCCCGUGGCUUCCGGAGGCGCCCGGGCGGGAUGAGCUCACUGCUAGUUGGCUUGGAUUUCAUCAGCUUCCUCUGCUGGAGUUGCCCCCACUCCUUUUCCCGCGCGGGCCGCUCAGGCGAAUCCUUCGGGCGCCUGCUGCCCUCGAGCGGCGAAAUGGGGAAGCGCAGGUGCCGCGUAAAGGCCACCUUUGCCACUGACUGACCAUGUCGCCAGUUUAUGAAUGCUGCAAAUGUGAACCCAUCUAAUCCUCACAACGACCCCUUGGGGAAGAGACCAUCUUAAAUUCCAGUUACAACGGGUAAACUGAGAGAAAGAGCACAAGCAGGGGGAGCAGCAGGCAGAAGGAGAGGGAGAAGCAGACUGCCGAUGAGGGAGCCCGAUGCAGGACUCAAUCCUGGGAUUCUGGGAUCAUGACCCGAGCCGAAGGCUGACGCUUCACCCACUGAGCCACCCAGGCGUCCCGCUGCUGUGGACACUCCUGUACUUGACAUGGCGUUUGGUGAACGUGUGCACACAUUUCUGUUGGGUCAAUCCCUCCGAGAGCAUUUGCUGGCUCAUAGGGGAUUCCACUGCUUCCGUCGAGUGGAAACUGUGCUUCGUUGCGUUCAGAAAUCAACCAAGGGUGAUGCACCGUUUUGGAUCAUCAGGUCACCCCUGCAACCCCACUCCUGCUGUCUCAUCGCAGCGUCUAUUCGGGAGUCCACGUAAAGACAGGCGCAUAAGAAGGGGCCACACACGCGCAUGCGUGCGCGCUCAGCCCGUUUACAAAAUCUCAACUACAACAAAAGGGUGUUGUUCAGUUAGCAAGCAUUCCAACUCUCUUACGCUCAAACACAUUCACUUUAUUAUUUUUUUUAAAGAUUUUAUUUAUUUAUUCGACAGAGAGAUAGAGACAGCCAGCGAGAGAGGGAGCACAAGCAGGGGGAGUGGGAGAGGAAGAAGCGGGCUCACAGCAGAGGAGCCUGAUGUGGGGCUCGAUCCCACAACGCCGGGAUCACGCCCUGAGCCGAAGGCAAAUGCUUAACCGCUGUGCCACCCAGGCGCCCCAUCAAACACGUUCACUUUAAGAGCUGAAAGCAUUUGGCUACCUCUUGACGAUUUCCAGUGUCAUCGUACGAAUGCAUUUUCACACGUGUUGCUUUAUUAUAAAUUUCUUCCCUUCGAUUUCUGUAAUUUCUCCCUUGUGGUAAAUUUAGGUUAUUAUACUAAAAAUGGUGUAUGCAGGGGUGCCUGGUUGGCUCAGUCAGAAGAGCACGAGACUCUUGGUCUUGGAGACAUGAGUUUGAGCCCUACGUUGGGGAUAGAGUUUACUUAAAAAAAAAAAAAUGAUUGGGACAACUGGGCCGCACCUAGCUACCCGCUCAAUGGGGAGUCUGCUUCUCCUCCCUCUGCCCUUCUCUCCUGCUUGUGUUCUCGCUCUCAAAUGGAUGAAUAAAAUCUUAAAAAAAAAAUAAAAGAUGUACGUAGGUAGGACAUACUGUCUAGGCAUUUCAUUUAGGGAUAGUGGAAGGGGUAUUUUGCAAGGAGUUUAUGUCAUAAUGUGUGUUUGGGAUACGAUGGGGUUGGGUCCUGCUGGUCUAAUGGGCUGGGGACACCGAAGGUUUGGGAGAACCAGGUUGCUUUAGUGAUUCCAUAUGUAUGGAGAACUACGUGGCCUUGUGGUGGACAGUGCUGGGGACCUAGUGGUGACAGUGACAACCUCAGCCCUGCACCUACAGGUCUCGAGUCCAGCGAGGGACACAGACCUGACCCUGGGCAGUGAGGACCUGAGUGGGCAGGACUGUGAUGUGAGAAUCCAGGGGGAAUGGGGGUGACAGCCCAGAGUGGCACCUGACCUAGGUGGGGGUCAAGGAGGGUUUCCUGGAGGAAGUGGCAUCCGUGCUGAGCCUGGAGGAAAAGGUGUUCUAAGCAGGAGGAAUAGCUUGUGCCACAUCCCAGACACGCGAGACAGUGAGUUGGUGUCACGGAACCAAAAACAUUCUUCAGCGGGGCUGGAGCAACAUUUCCUAAGGUUGGCCUCACUGGGUCCUGGGCAGUGUCUUUGGGUGUGAAGGGCUCCAUGGAGGGCUGGGCCACGUGAAGGCUCGCAAGACCCUGGGACUGGGUUCCAAUCCUGGCCCAGCCACCACUGUCGUGGGUCGAAUUGUGGGUCCCAAGAUACCUUCACUGGGAACAUGGGAGCAUGACCUUCUCUGGAAUAAGGGUCUUUGCGGGUGCACUUCUAUCAAGGAUCUUGAGAUGUGAUCAUCCGGGAGCAGGGGAGGCCCUACACCCCAUGACAGGUGUCUCUGGAAGAGACAGAAAAGGAGAAGACACAGAGCCACGUGUCUUCUCAGAGAGGAAGGCCACGUGAAGACCCAGGCAGACAUCGGAGUGAUGUGUGUACCAGCCAAGGAAUGCGGAGAACUGCUGACUGCCACCAGAAGCGAGGACUGAGGCCUGGGACAGAUCCUCCCUCGGAGGCUCCGGAAGGGGCAACUCGGCCCGCACUUUGAUUUCAGACUUGUGGCCUCUGGAGCUG